Molecule: ribosomal RNA, 750 nt
Filed under: uncultured bacterium
Lineage: Bacteria
Description: bacterial SSU rRNA
Rfam family: Bacterial small subunit ribosomal RNA
Source: RNAcentral
AGAGUUUGAUCAUGGCUCAGGACAAACGCUGCGGAAUGUAUUAGCAUGCAAGUCGCACGGGCUUCGGGCUAGUGGCGGACGGGAGUAACACGUGGGUACCUGCCUCGUAGUGGGGAAUAACUCGCCGAAAGGCGAGCUAAUACCGCAUAACACCCCUGGUGAGAUUCCGGGUGGUAAAAGCUCCGGCGCUAUGAGAGGGGCCCGCGGCCGAUUAGCUUGUUGGUGGGGUAAUGGCCUACCAAGGCGACGAUCGGUAGCUGGUCUGAGAGGAUGGUCAGCCACACGGGGACUGAGAUACGGCCCCGACUCUACGGGAGGCAGCAGCUAAGAAUCUUGCGCAAUGGGCGAAAGCCUGACGCAGCAAUUCCGCGUGGGGGACGAAGGCCCUCGGGUCGUAAACCCCUUUUGCGAGGGAAGAAGUUCUGACGGUACCUCGCGAAUAAGCCACGGCUAACUACGUGCCAGCAGCCGCGGUAAUACGUAGGUGGCAAGCGUUGUCCGGAUUUAUUGGGCGUAAAGCGCCCGCAGGCGGCUCGAUAAGUUUCAGGUGAAAUCUCCCGGCUCAACCGGGAGGGUGCCUGGAAAACUAUUGGGCUUGAGGCAGGGAGAGGGAUGUGGAAUUCCCGGUGUAGUGGUGAAAUGCGUAGAUAUCGGGAGGAACACCAGUGGCGAAGGCGGCAUCCUGGCCCUGUCCUGACGCUCAGGGGCGAAAGCGUGGGGAGCAAACCGGAUUAGAUACCCUAGUAGUCC